GUCCGUUGAUUGAAAAAUCCCAAAUCAGAUCUCUCAUUUCGCCCACGUGAGGUUGCAGUGCCGCCUCCCUCCUCUCCGGAUUCCAUGGGGAAAGUACGACCUCACUUCUCUUCCACCUCCUUUCGUCUUCAAUUUUCGCCCCUUUUCCCCGAUUUCUCUCUAUUGCGACUGUAGCAACAUCACGUAUUUCCCCUGCUCUAGCUGUGAUCGACGUCACUCUGUUCAAAAGAUGUAUUUUUCACAAUUUUCUGCUUCUUCCCGUGGCUUCUCCGGCGCUGGCUAUCACAUCUCCCGUCAACCAUUGCGUGGGACCUCCAAAGUGAGGGAACCAUAUGCAUUUAAUAAAGUUUUCAGCAGUAGUUGGUGGAGUAAGAAGCCUAUGUUAUGCAGGAGCAAGAUUAUGCAUUAGGCUAGGAGCUUUGGACAUUUAGAGGGAAUGAGCAAAAAGUUAGAACAUGAAUUAGGCAAGAGACAGAACCCCUUGGACAUUUUUCUUAUCCCAAUACAAUGGUGACUGCCGCCUAACAUGAUGAUUCUGUAGCUUCACUUUAUAUGCUUACUGCUUCUAUUCAGUAGAAGAACAUAUGGUAAAAGCGGGAUGCACACCUUCAAGGCUGCUGUUAAUCUUUGUUCUAAUUCUAAUAUCUCUAUUUUGGUAAAUUGUUUUAGCCGAGUAAAUCUUUAUUCAUACGAAUAAAACCCCUUAUAUAGUGACAUUUCACAACUUAAAAGAAAAAAAAAAGAAAAUCGUUUUGUUCUUUUGCCCUAUGUCUUUUUUUUCUUUCUCUUGCCAUGUUUUUUCUUCAACAGUGAGUUUUAGGAUUAGGCUUGAGUUUGACCCCUUAAAAUAUAUACUGAUAACUUUUAGUCUUUUGGUGUUAAACAUUGAAUAAUAACUGUAAGGAGAAGCAUUUCAGUAGAUCAUUCUGUCUCUGCUUUCUUAGUUUCUUUUUCCAUACAACUUUUUAAUCUUUCUGUGACUGCUACUUUUGACA
Long non-coding RNA from Lotus japonicus, 995 nucleotides. RefSeq lists it as uncharacterized. The transcript is spliced from 3 exons. The record is from RefSeq and is a predicted model, not a curated record. NCBI's taxonomy places the organism in Eukaryota, Viridiplantae, Streptophyta, Magnoliopsida, Fabales, Fabaceae.